UACGAGGGGGGCGAGCGUUGUUCGGAAUUAUUGGGCGUAAAGGGUGCGUAGGCGGUUCCGCAAGUCCUGUGUGAAAUCUUCGGGCUCAACUCGAAGUCUGCACGGGAAACUGUGGGGCUUGAGUGUGGGAGAGGUGAGUGGAAUUCCCGGUGUAGCGGUGAAAUGCGUAGAUAUCGGAAGGAACACCAGUGGCGAAAGCGGCUUCCUGGUCCGACACCGACGUUCAGGCACGAAAGCGUGGGGAGCAAACAGG
This 253-nucleotide ribosomal RNA is filed under the name uncultured bacterium. RNAcentral's name for it is "partial 16S ribosomal RNA". It matches the Rfam family "Bacterial small subunit ribosomal RNA", at positions 524 to 776 of the family's 1533-position model. The record is from RNAcentral.